This 36-nucleotide ribosomal RNA is filed under the name Staphylococcus warneri. The record is from RNAcentral. Lineage: Bacteria; Bacillati; Bacillota; Bacilli; Caryophanales; Staphylococcaceae.
GUCACACCUGUUCCCAUGCUGAACACAGAAGUUAAG